GUCUACGACCAUACCACCCUGAACGCGCCUGAUCUCAUCUGAUCUCGGAAGCUAAGCAGGGUUGGGCCUGGUUAGUACUUGGAUGGGAGAAAUUUGUGUGCAUGUGAAUG
Molecule: ribosomal RNA, 110 nt
Organism: Nomascus leucogenys (northern white-cheeked gibbon)
Lineage: Eukaryota; Metazoa; Chordata; Mammalia; Primates; Hylobatidae
Source: Ensembl